Molecule: ribosomal RNA, 496 nt
Filed under: uncultured bacterium
Lineage: Bacteria
Description: bacterial SSU rRNA
Rfam family: Bacterial small subunit ribosomal RNA
Source: RNAcentral
AACAAACGCUGGCGGCGUGCCUAACACAUGCAAGUCGUACGAGAAAGUCGGCUUCGGCCGAUGAGUACAGUGGCGCACGGGUGAGUAGCGCGUGGGUAAUCUGCCCCCCGGUCAGGAAUAACCCGCCGAAAGGCGGGCUAAUACCCGAUAACACUGACGCUCCGCGGAGCGUCUUUCAAAGAAGGCCUCUGUUUACAAGCUUUCGCCGGAGGAUGAGCCCGCGUACCAUUAGCUAGUUGGCAGGGUAAUGGCCUACCAAGGCUACGAUGGUUAGCUGGUCUGAGAGGAUGGCCAGCCACACUGGAACUGAGACACGGUCCAGACUCCUACGGGAGCAGCAGUGAGGAAUCUUGCGCAAUGGGGAAACCCUGACGCAGCAACGCCGCGUGAGUGAGGAAGGCCUUCGGGUCGUAAGCUCUGUCAGAUGGGAAGAAAUGGAUGGGGGCUAAUAUCGCCCAUCCUUGACGGUACCAUCAGAGGAAGCACCGGCUAACCG